UGGAUCUUAGUGGCGAACGGGUGAGUAACGCGUAGGCAAUCUGCCUUCUAGAUGGGGACAACAUCCCGAAAGGGGUGCUAAUACCGAAUGUUGUACCGUUUCCGCAUGGAGAUGAUACUAAAGGUGGCCUCUGAAUAUGCUACCGCUAGAAGAUGAGCCUGCGUCUGAUUAGCUAGUUGGAGGGGUAACGGCCCACCAAGGCUUCGAUCAGUAGCCGGUCUGAGAGGAUGAACGGCCACACUGGGACUGAGACACGGCCCAGACUCCUACGGGAGGCAGCAGUGGGGAAUCUUCCGCAAUGGACGAAAGUCUGACGGAGCAACGCCGCGUGAGUGAAGAAGGUUUUCGGAUCGUAAAGCUCUUUCGUUAGGGACGAACGUGCUCUUUGUGAAUAAUGAGGAGUAAUGACGGUACCUAAAUAAG
RNAcentral lists this ribosomal RNA (423 nucleotides) under uncultured Anaeromusa sp. Its description in RNAcentral is "partial 16S ribosomal RNA". It matches the Rfam family "Bacterial small subunit ribosomal RNA", at positions 86 to 487 of the family's 1533-position model. Lineage: Bacteria; Bacillati; Bacillota; Negativicutes; Selenomonadales; Sporomusaceae. The record is from RNAcentral.